RNAcentral lists this transfer RNA (72 nucleotides) under Camelus bactrianus (Bactrian camel). It matches the Rfam family "tRNA". From Rfam's summary of the family: Transfer RNA (tRNA) molecules are approximately 80 nucleotides in length. Their secondary structure includes four short double-helical elements and three loops (D, anti-codon, and T loops). The record is from Rfam by way of RNAcentral. RNAcentral also lists the same sequence under 1 other name. Lineage: Eukaryota; Metazoa; Chordata; Mammalia; Artiodactyla; Camelidae.
GAGGGUAUAGCUCAGUGGUAGAGCGCGUGCUUAGCAUGCACAAGGUCCUAGGUUCAAUCCUCAGUACCUCCA